CAGUAGCCGCGGUAAUACAGAGUGUGCGAGCGUUAAUCGGAUUUACUGGGCGUAAAGCGUGCGUAGGCGGCUUCUUAAGUCGGAUGUGAAAUCCCUGAGCUUAACUUAGGAAUUGCAUUCGAUACUGGGAAGCUAGAGUAUGGGAGAGGAUUGUAGAAUUCCAGGUGUAGCGGUGAAAUGCGUAGAGAUCUGGAGGAAUACCGAUGGCGAAGGCAGCCAUCUGGCCUAAUACUGACGCUGAGGUACGAAAGCAUGGGGAGCAAACAGGAUUAGAUACCCGGGUAGUCCCUGUCUCUUAUAA
RNAcentral lists this ribosomal RNA (301 nucleotides) under uncultured bacterium. Its description in RNAcentral is "partial 16S ribosomal RNA". It matches the Rfam family "Bacterial small subunit ribosomal RNA", at positions 509 to 809 of the family's 1533-position model. The record is from RNAcentral.